GGUGGAUGGUGGGACAUGGAUGAGAGGAGGAGUAGAGUGCAGGUGUGUCGUGAGCAGGUGACUGAAUACAUAGGAAGAACUAAUCAAGGCUGGGCUGGGGCUCAGUGGCAGAGUGCUCACCUCGCCUGCGUGAGGCCCUGGGUUCGAUCCUCAGCACCACGUAAAAAUAAAUAAAUAAAGUCAUUGUGUCCAUCUACAACUAAGAAAAAAGUUCACACACACCAAAAAGGAACUAAUCAAAUGACGUGAACUUCCCAGGGCCAAGGUGCCCGUUCCUGGACGUUGGAUGUGUCCUUCGGCGUGGGCACCUCCAGACAGGUUUGACUCCAGACAGGUUUUAUUUGGGUUUAAAUUUUUUGAAACAAGUUGUUACCAUUUAAAAAUUGGGGCUUUCACAUUUAAAAAUCUAUUAAAAAAAAAAUCUGUGGGGACUGGGGCCAGGGCUCAGCGGUGGAGCUCGGCUCGCACGUGCGAGGCCUGGGUUCGAUCCUCAGCACCACGUAAAAUUAAAUAAAGUGAAGGCCUCGUGUCCUGCACCAGACCUCGCUCCACAGCAGGGAAAUGGAAAGGCGCAGAGAGACGACGGGAGGGGACUUCUUUAUGAGGGGGGACAUCUCUGUGGCUCUGGGCAUGAGCAGCCCCUCCUGGGGGCAGGGGGAUGUGGUGCUCACAGGCACAGACCCAAGGUCUGCCCAGGCCCCGCUGUGGCACCCUGUGGCCCUGUGCCCUGCGCAAGGCGCUGGCUCCCCCUGGGCUUGGCCCUCCUCAUCUGUGGAGAGGAGGUGCCCGUGCCCCCUGGCGGGUGCCAGUCUGCUCCCAUGGGAUGCUCUCCGUGUGAGCUGCCAUUGUCUUGGGCAGGGCUGGACUCUGUCACCUACUUGCCGUCUGUGGUGGCUGAGGGCAGCCAUCCCCAGUGGAGGGCAAUUGUGCCCCAACCCAGGGGCAUGUGGCAAUGUCCAGAGACGUCUUGGGUUGUCACCAUUUUACUGGGGAGAGGCCACCAACACCUAAUGGGUAGAG
Molecule: long non-coding RNA, 1020 nt
Filed under: Marmota monax (woodchuck)
Lineage: Eukaryota; Metazoa; Chordata; Mammalia; Rodentia; Sciuridae
Source: RNAcentral